Molecule: long non-coding RNA, 767 nt
Organism: Zalophus californianus (California sea lion)
Lineage: Eukaryota; Metazoa; Chordata; Mammalia; Carnivora; Otariidae
Exons: 4
Source: RefSeq, a predicted model, not a curated record
GCGGCGGGCAGAGAGCAGAGGGACAGAUCGCUUCGUUCUGUCUGCAGAGACCGGCUCUCUGGUACUGGUGUUACAAACCAGAAGCGUGCGCGGGGAGUGAUGCGCCAAGCCCACCCACCUACGCUGCACGAGGAACAGACCCAUUCUCCUUCAUGCGGUCAGGCUUGGUUAUGUCGUGUUUGGAGCGCCUCAGAAGACGCGAUGUGGAGGAGUGUUUCCCUGGGACCAGAAUGGUGUCGAUCACUAGAGCAGAUGGUCUAAUAUCGUGGAGCCCUUGCCUGUGCCACACGCUGGAUCCCUGAAGACAGAGUAGUGAAGAAAUUGGAGAAAUUGACCAUAAAUUUUCCUUUGGAGAAACUGACCAUAAUUGUCCUGGAAAACAACCCACUACGACGAGUCAAGGAGCAGUGAGGACAGGAUUCUUCAACACUGGAUGUGUCACGUCACCUAGGAUUUUCACAGAAAGCCUUCUUUGACGAACAAUUUUCCUCACUCUGGAAUUUACUAAGAGACAACCAAAAUUGUGCUGAAAUUGCAUGUACUCUCACUUAGGGAGACAUAUGUAGAUUGGGUCACAAGACAAAGGCAAAGUGGAGAGAACUGUAAAGCAGGAAGUGAAAUGACAAUGUUCCAGAGGAGAAAUUAGGAGAAUGAAAACAUCAGUCAAAAGUGGGAAAUGAGGGGCGCCUGGGUGGCUCAGUCGUUAAGCGUCUGCCUUCGGCUCAGGUCAUGAUCCCAGGGUCCUGGGAUCGAGUCCCACAUCGGGC